CAUGCAAGUCGAGCGGGCAAUUUAUCUAGCACUGAUUACUUCAUUAGGCUAUCGCCAGUGUUUACAUGAAUUUCUACUCUAUAAUAAAGAAAAAAAGAAAUUCAUGUACGCAAAUAGUGAUAACACAUUUUAGUGAAGUGAUGAGUGCUGGAUAAAUUGCUAGCGGCGGACGGGUGCGUAACACGUGGGUAACCUGCCCCUAUCACUGGGAUAACACACUGAAAAGUGUGCUAAUACCAGAUAACAUAAGCUUUUGGCAUCAUUAGCUUAUCAAAGAGUUUCGGAUAGGGAUGGGCCCGCGUCUGAUUAGCUAGUUGGUGAGGUAACGGCUCACCAAGGCAACGAUCAGUAGCCGACCUGAGAGGGUGAUCGGCCACACUGGAACUGAGACACGGUCCAGACUCCUACGGGAGGCAGCAGUGGGGAAUAUUGCACAAUGGGCGAAAGCCUGAUGCAGCAACGCCGCGUGAGCGAUGAAGGCCUUCGGGUCGUAAAGCUCUGUCCUAUGGGAAGAUAAUGACGGUACCAUAGGAGGAAGCCCCGGCUAACUACGUGCCAGCAGCCGCGGUAAUACGUAGGGGGCAAGCGUUAUCCGGAAUUACUGGGCGUAAAGGGUGCGUAGGCGGUUUAUCAAGUCAGGGGUGAAAGGCUACGGCUCAACCGUAGUGAGCCUCUGAAACUGGUGAACUUGAGUGUAGGAGAGGAAAGUGGAAUUCCCAGUGUAGCGGUGAAAUGCGUAGAUAUUGGGAGGAACACCAGUGGCGAAGGCGACUUUCUGGACUACAACUGACGCUGAGGCACGAAAGCGUGGGGAGCAAACAGGAUUAGAUACCCUGGUAGUCCACGCUGUAAACGAUGAGUACUAGGUGUCGGCUGUCAAAGGUCGGUGCCGGCGUUAACACAUUAAGUACUCCGCCUGGGGAGUACGCUCGCAAGAGUGAAACUCA
This 947-nucleotide ribosomal RNA is filed under the name uncultured Clostridium sp. RNAcentral's name for it is "bacterial SSU rRNA". It matches the Rfam family "Bacterial small subunit ribosomal RNA", at positions 54 to 903 of the family's 1533-position model. The record is from RNAcentral. Lineage: Bacteria; Bacillati; Bacillota; Clostridia; Eubacteriales; Clostridiaceae.